Molecule: ribosomal RNA, 2447 nt
Filed under: Salmonella enterica subsp. enterica
Lineage: Bacteria; Pseudomonadati; Pseudomonadota; Gammaproteobacteria; Enterobacterales; Enterobacteriaceae
Description: partial 23S ribosomal RNA
Rfam family: Bacterial large subunit ribosomal RNA
Source: RNAcentral
ACUGCGUACCUUUUGUAUAAUGGGUCAGCGACUUAUAUUCUGUAGCAAGGUUAACCGAAUAGGGGAGCCGGAGGGAAACCGAGUCUUAAUUGGGCGUUAAGUUGCAGGGUAUAGACCCGAAACCCGGUGAUCUAGCCAUGGGCAGGUUGAAGGUUGGGUAACACUAACUGGAGGACCGAACCGACUAAUGUUGAAAAAUUAGCGGAUGACCUGUGGCUGGGGGUGAAAGGCCAAUCAAACCGGGAGAUAGCUGGUUCUCCCCGAAAGCUAUUUAGGUAGCGCCUCGUGAAUUCAUCUCCGGGGGUAGAGCACUGUUUCGGCUAGGGGGCCAUCCCGGCUUACCAACCCGAUGCAAACUGCGAAUACCGGAGAAUGUUAUCACGGGAGACACACGGCGGGUGCUAACGUCCGUCGUGAAGAGGGAAACAACCCAGACCGCCAGCUAAGGUCCCAAAGUCAUGGUUAAGUGGGAAACGAUGUGGGAAGGCCCAGACAGCCAGGAUGUUGGCUUAGAAGCAGCCAUCAUUUAAAGAAAGCGUAAUAGCUCACUGGUCGAGUCGGCCUGCGCGGAAGAUGUAACGGGGCUAAACCAUGCACCGAAGCUGCGGCAGCGAACGUAUCACCCAAGACAACUUUACGGAGUUGACGAUUGACGGAGCGAAGCGACGUCAAAGCGUUCAUUAAAGUCGAGUUGGCUUAGGGAUACGUUCGUUGGGUAGGGGAGCGUUCUGUAAGCCUGUGAAGGUGUGUCGUGAGGCAUGCUGGAGGUAUCAGAAGUGCGAAUGCUGACAUAAGUAACGAUAAAGCGGGUGAAAAGCCCGCUCGCCGGAAGACCAAGGGUUCCUGUCCAACGUUAAUCGGGGCAGGGUGAGUCGACCCCUAAGGCGAGGCCGAAAGGCGUAGUCGAUGGGAAACGGGUUAAUAUUCCCGUACUUGGUGUUACUGCGAAGGGGGGACGGAGAAGGCUAUGUUGGCCGGGCGACGGUUGUCCCGGUUUAAGCGUGUAGGUGUGUGUUCCAGGUAAAUCCGGUUCACUUUAACACUGAGGCGUGACGACGAGGCACUACGGUGCUGAAGCAACAAAUGCCCUGCUUCCAGGAAAAGCCUCUAAGCAUCAGGUAACACGAAAUCGUACCCCAAACCGACACAGGUGGUCAGGUAGAGAAUACCAAGGCGCUUGAGAGAACUCGGGUGAAGGAACUAGGCAAAAUGGUGCCGUAACUUCGGGAGAAGGCACGCUGACACGUAGGUGAAGUGAUUUACUCAUGGAGCUGAAGUCAGUCGAAGAUACCAGCUGGCUGCAACUGUUUAUUAAAAACACAGCACUGUGCAAACACGAAAGUGGACGUAUACGGUGUGACGCCUGCCCGGUGCCGGAAGGUUAAUUGAUGGGGUCAGCGCAAGCGAAGCUCCUGAUCGAAGCCCCGGUAAACGGCGGCCGUAACUAUAACGGUCCUAAGGUAGCGAAAUUCCUUGUCGGGUAAGUUCCGACCUGCACGAAUGGCGUAAUGAUGGCCAGGCUGUCUCCACCCGAGACUCAGUGAAAUUGAACUCGCUGUGAAGAUGCAGUGUACCCGCGGCAAGACGGAAAGACCCCGUGAACCUUUACUAUAGCUUGACACUGAACAUUGAGCCUUGAUGUGUAGGAUAGGUGGGAGGCUUUGAAGUGUGGACGCCAGUCUGCAUGGAGCCGACCUUGAAAUACCACCCUUUAAUGUUUGAUGUUCUAACGUGGACCCGUAAUCCGGGUUGCGGACAGUGUCUGGUGGGUAGUUUGACUGGGGCGGUCUCCUCCUAAAGAGUAACGGAGGAGCACGAAGGUUGGCUAAUCCUGGUCGGACAUCAGGAGGUUAGUGCAAUGGCAUAAGCCAGCUUGACUGCGAGCGUGACGGCGCGAGCAGGUGCGAAAGCAGGUCAUAGUGAUCCGGUGGUUCUGAAUGGAAGGGCCAUCGCUCAACGGAUAAAAGGUACUCCGGGGAUAACAGGCUGAUACCGCCCAAGAGUUCAUAUCGACGGCGGUGUUUGGCACCUCGAUGUCGGCUCAUCACAUCCUGGGGCUGAAGUAGGUCCCAAGGGUAUGGCUGUUCGCCAUUUAAAGUGGUACGCGAGCUGGGUUUAGAACGUCGUGAGACAGUUCGGUCCCUAUCUGCCGUGGGCGCUGGAGAACUGAGGGGGGCUGCUCCUAGUACGAGAGGACCGGAGUGGACGCAUCACUGGUGUUCGGGUUGUCAUGCCAAUGGCACUGCCCGGUAGCUAAAUGCGGAAGAGAUAAGUGCUGAAAGCAUCUAAGCACGAAACUUGCCCCGAGAUGAGUUCUCCCUGAGACUUAGAGUCUCCUGAAGGAACGUUGAAGACGACGACGUUGAUAGGCCGGGUGUGUAAGCGCAGCGAUGCGUUGAGCUAACCGGUACUAAUGAACCGUGAGGCUUAACCUUACAACGCCGAAG